Small nuclear RNA from Panthera leo (lion), 86 nucleotides. NCBI's taxonomy places the organism in Eukaryota, Metazoa, Chordata, Mammalia, Carnivora, Felidae. The record is from Ensembl.
GUGCUCAGUUCAGCAGCACACAUACUAAAAUUGGAACCACACAGAGAUUAGCAUGGUCCGGUGCAAGGAUGACACGCCAAACUUUU